CCUACGGGUGGCUGCAGUGGGGAAUAUUGGACAAUGGGGGCAACCCUGAUCCAGCCAUGCCGCGUGUGUGAAGAAGGCCCUCGGGUUGUAAAGCACUUUCAGUGAGGAAGAACGCCUGGUGGUUAAUACCCAUCAGGAAAGACAUCACUCACAGAAGAAGCACCGGCUAACUCCGUGCCAGCAGCCGCGGUAAUACGGAGGGUGCGAGCGUUAAUCGGAAUUACUGGGCGCAAAGCGCGCGUAGGUGGCUUGAUAAGCCGGUUGUGAAAGCCCCGGGCUCAACCUGGGAACGGCAUCCGGAACUGUCAAGCUAGAGUGCAGGAGAGGAAGGUAGAAUUCCCGGUGUAGCGGUGAAAUGCGUAGAGAUCGGGAGGAAUACCAGUGGCGAAGGCGGCCUUCUGGACUGACACUGACACUGAGGUGCGAAAGCGUGGGUAGCAAACAGGAUUAGAUACCCCAGUAGUC
This 465-nucleotide ribosomal RNA is filed under the name Vreelandella stevensii. RNAcentral describes it as "partial 16S ribosomal RNA". It matches the Rfam family "Bacterial small subunit ribosomal RNA", at positions 338 to 795 of the family's 1533-position model. Lineage: Bacteria; Pseudomonadati; Pseudomonadota; Gammaproteobacteria; Oceanospirillales; Halomonadaceae. The record is from RNAcentral.